UUGAUGAUUUUGAAUGUGUGCAUGGCUGAGAAGAUCAUACCAAUUAAUUUUCAUGCAGAAGUCAAGGUGAGAACUGCUUUGGAUUGUGGCAGUUGAAACUGAAAAACUAGGGGCUGAUUAUGGCUUUUUCUGAAAUCACCAAGAAGCCUCCAAGAAGCAAUAGUUAUAUCUUAUUUCUCAUCUGACUCUUCAAAUGACCCCAUUCACAAAAGGGCUUCUCUACUUAAUCUACCCUAUCUCUCCAAUUGUCUAAAAUCCUACUUCACUUUUUAGCUAGAAUUAUGGGCCACAGGCUCUAAAAGGAAUUUUAUAGAUCAUUUGGUCCAUCUUAUUUUACUGAUGAGGAAAAACCAAGAUUCUAGGACAAAGACUAGCAUCCAUGUAUUCCAAGUCUGCCUUCCAUACCCUGUUUCAGAAUCAUGUGAUGUUUGAUGUUGCUAAAUGGAAUGCUUUUUACCUUGGGCUUUUCUAUAUCCCCCAGCAUGCCUUGCAGAGGGCUCAUCCAUAGCCAAUCAGCCGUUGACUGUUAAUGGCCACCUGGAGUGCUGUGCUGAGGAUCGGAUCUUCUCAUGGCUGGCCCUGUCUCAUUGGUCAAGUUUCUCCCAAAUGGUGCCAUUCACCUCCUCACCACCACCCCCUCUCAACUAGAACAGCAGCCAUAACCCAGGGUCAUUACAUCUGGUUUUGACUCAGGGACAAGAUAGACCAGGCACUGGCCUACAAAUGUGGACACUAACAGCUCCUGAUAGAACCAGGGUGGAAACUGAGGUAUGUGUGACUCACUCAUACUUUAUCCCCAGCACACUACUCCAAACACAGAUAUCCCAUUACAUACAGUCCCCUGGAGAUUUGUAUUUUUGACUUUAUAGUUGCUCAGCAAACACUUAUUUAAUGGGGGAAAAGUGCUAUGUUAGGUGUGCAGGGAAUGGUUUCCUUCUUAUUUGCUUAUGCUCUAGGAAGAACAACACACAGAGGCCUGUGACAGGUGAACAAACUGUGAGAUAGGAAAAAAAAAUCAAAAUAUUUUCAGGAGAAAUUUGUGAGGCUCAACAUGUUCAGUGAGGAUUUAGAAUCAUGAAAACUUUCACUGUGGUUAAAG
This 1099-nucleotide long non-coding RNA is filed under the name Felis catus (domestic cat). RNAcentral's name for it is "lncRNA (ENSFCAG00000048000.1)". Lineage: Eukaryota; Metazoa; Chordata; Mammalia; Carnivora; Felidae. The record is from RNAcentral.